Molecule: ribosomal RNA, 675 nt
Filed under: Lentzea sp. YIM 48828
Lineage: Bacteria; Bacillati; Actinomycetota; Actinomycetes; Pseudonocardiales; Pseudonocardiaceae
Description: bacterial SSU rRNA
Rfam family: Bacterial small subunit ribosomal RNA
Source: RNAcentral
CAAGUCGAGCGGUAAGGCCCUUCGGGGUACACGAGCGGCGAACGGGUGAGUAACACGUGGGUAAUCUGCCCCGUACUCUGGGAUAAGCCUUGGAAACGAGGUCUAAUACCGGAUAUGACUCCGCAUCGCAUGAUGUGGGGUGGAAAGUUCCGGCGGUACGGGAUGAACCCGCGGCCUAUCAGCUUGUUGGUGGGGUAGUGGCCUACCAAGGCGACGACGGGUAGCCGGCCUGAGAGGGUGACCGGCCACACUGGGACUGAGACACGGCCCAGACUCCUACGGGAGGCAGCAGUGGGGAAUAUUGCACAAUGGGCGAAAGCCUGAUGCAGCGACGCCGCGUGAGGGAUGACGGCCUUCGGGUUGUAAACCUCUUUCAGCAGGGACGAAGCGCAAGUGACGGUACCUGCAGAAGAAGCACCGGCUAACUACGUGCCAGCAGCCGCGGUAAUACGUAGGGUGCGAGCGUUGUCCGGAAUUAUUGGGCGUAAAGAGCUCGUAGGCGGUUUGUCGCGUCGGCCGUGAAAACCUGGGGCUUAACCCUGGGCCUGCGGUCGAUACGGGCAGACUUGAGUUCGGUAGGGGAGACUGGAAUUCCUGGUGUAGCGGUGAAAUGCGCAGAUAUCAGGAGGAACACCGGUGGCGAAGGCGGGUCUCUGGGCCGAUACUGACGCUGAG